AGAAGAAAAAGGGAAAGAAAGGAAAGAAAAAGAAGAAGAGGUGAGCUCCUGCCAUUCACGCCUCUUUACUUGAUUUUUCAAUCCUUUUCCUUU
This 93-nucleotide non-coding RNA is filed under the name Protocruzia adhaerens. The record is from RNAcentral. Lineage: Eukaryota; Ciliophora; Spirotrichea.